Molecule: ribosomal RNA, 494 nt
Filed under: uncultured bacterium
Lineage: Bacteria
Description: partial 16S ribosomal RNA
Rfam family: Bacterial small subunit ribosomal RNA
Source: RNAcentral
GACGAACGCUGGCGGCGUGCUUAACACAUGCAAGUCGAACGGAAAGGCCUGCUUUCCCCUGUGGAUUGCGGGUACUCGAGUGGCGAACGGGUGAGUAACACGUGAGUGAUCUGCCCCCAACUUGGGUAUAAGCCUGGGAAACUGGGUCUAAUUCCCGAUAGGACUGCAGGGUGGUGCCUGUGGUGGAAAACGAUUUUCUAGUGGUUGGGGAUGAGCUCGCGGCCUAUCAGCUUGUUGGUGGGGUAAUGGCCUACCAAGGCGGCGACGGGUAGCCGGCCUGAGAGGGUGGACGGCCACAUUGGGACUGAGAUACGGCCCAGACUCCUACGGGAGGCAGCAGUGGGGAAUAUUGCACAAUGGGCGGAAGCCUGAUGCAGCGACGCCGCGUGGGGGAUGACGGCCUUCGGGUUGUAAACUCCUUUCGACCGCGAGGAAGCCACCUGGUUGGAAGGGUGGUGACGGUAGUGGCAGAAGAAGCACCGGCUAACUACGUG